RNAcentral lists this small nucleolar RNA (124 nucleotides) under Daucus carota subsp. sativus. RNAcentral's name for it is "sRNA DCAR_sn00152". It matches the Rfam family "Small nucleolar RNA SNORD14". From Rfam's summary of the family: U14 small nucleolar RNA (U14 snoRNA) is required for early cleavages of eukaryotic precursor rRNAs. In yeasts, this molecule possess a stem-loop region (known as the Y-domain) which is essential for function. A similar structure, but with a different consensus sequence, is found in plants, but is absent in vertebrates. Lineage: Eukaryota; Viridiplantae; Streptophyta; Magnoliopsida; Apiales; Apiaceae. The record is from Rfam by way of RNAcentral.
GGUUGAUGAUGAUGAAACAAAGGCUUGUUUCUCAGAGACAUUCGCAGUGGCCGCCUAAGAGCUUUCGCCUUCGCCAGGCUUGAGAGUUUAUGCUGCUUCCUUCCUUCCUUGGAUGUCUGAAACC